AUGUCUUCCUCCUCCGCCACCUUCCACUCAAGCCUAAACGGCCAGGUCACGGAGAAGCUCUCCCGCACAAAUUAUGUGCUAUGGCGGACACAGAUCACGCCCCAGCUGAGAGGGGCCGGUCUCUUUGGCUAUGCGGACGGCACCAUGCCGAAACCAACUAGCCUUCUCGUCACCAAGGACAAGGACGGGACGGAGACUUCUGAGCCCAACCCUCUCCACCCCAUCUGGGUCAAGGAGGACCAACAGGUGCUCGGCUUCCUGCUAAGCAACCUCUCAAAAGAGGUGCUCGUCACGGUGACCGCGAUC
RNAcentral lists this ribosomal RNA (306 nucleotides) under Triticum aestivum (bread wheat). RNAcentral describes it as "partial small subunit ribosomal RNA". Lineage: Eukaryota; Viridiplantae; Streptophyta; Magnoliopsida; Poales; Poaceae. The record is from RNAcentral.